UGGGGAAUCUUGGACAAUGGGCGCAAGCCUGAUCCAGCCAUGCCGCGUGGAUGAUGAAGGCCUUAGGGUUGUAAAAUCCUUUCGUGGGGGACGAUAAUGACGGUAUCCCAAGAAGAAGCUCCGGCUAACUUCGUGCCAGCAGCCGCGGUAAUACGAAGGGGGCUAGCGUUGUUCGGAAUUACUGGGCGUAAAGCGCACGUAGGCGGAUCAGCAAGUCAGGGGUGAAAUCCCGGGGCUCAACCUCGGAACUGCCUCUGAUACUGCUGGUCUGGAGUCCGGAAGAGGUGGGUGGAAUUCCUAGUGUAGAGGUGAAAUUCGUAGAUAUUAGGAAGAACACCAGUGGCGAAGGCGGCCAACUGGCUCGAUACUGACGCUGAGGUGCGAAAGCGUGGGGAGCAAACAGGAUUAGAUACCCCUGUAGUCCCUGAGCGGGCUGGCAAGGCGCAU
Molecule: ribosomal RNA, 447 nt
Filed under: uncultured bacterium
Lineage: Bacteria
Description: bacterial SSU rRNA
Rfam family: Bacterial small subunit ribosomal RNA
Source: RNAcentral